Molecule: long non-coding RNA, 795 nt
Organism: Mus musculus (house mouse)
Lineage: Eukaryota; Metazoa; Chordata; Mammalia; Rodentia; Muridae
Product: predicted gene, 52519
Exons: 3
Source: RefSeq, a predicted model, not a curated record
GGUUUCGUGCUGUGCUCUAAUGGUAACCAGAAAAUGGGAUUCUGAGAACCGUUUUGACAAAUAGCAGCUACAUCACAAAGCAUGAGUAAGCCACAUUUCAAAUGGAGGAGGGUUUAAUGGCCUAAUAACCAAGACGUGAGAGAAAGCAGCUAACAGGAAGACAGAAGUCACUCUUACGGUCGCAAGAACACAAACCAACAUCUUCCAAAGCGAGAACUGUAAACGCUGAGAAGUCACGAAGUCAUUCCAUUCUAUGAGGAACGGUGUCAUGCACCCUUUGAUUUAGUAACGAAGCUAUGAAAAAGACAGAAACGUACUGCUGCAGUGCCAUAGGUGGAGAGACUCACCAAUUAAGUGGCGAAUUGACUCCAAUACGGAUCGGACGCCUCCGUUUCCCAGUCACGGGUGCUUGACAACACUCAGGAUCUGUGCGUGCUCUUUUGAACCUAAACUAAAUCCAAACAGAAAUCCCAAAAGCUUGCACCUUCCUUAAUACAGCUGGUUUGAGUGACAUGAGGUCGCUCAACUUUGUCAUAAACCCCCGCUGCCUUGGCCACGCCCACAGAAAAGAAGCCUCUGGAAUCUAGGAAGUCGCGUGAGACAACAUGAUCUGAUGGUUUAAAUGUAACCAUCUGUUGUAGUUAACCUUGACUGUCAACUCGAUGGGAUGGAGAAUCAUCACGGCAUUUCUGUGGGGGAGUUUCUACAUCAAGUUCACUGAAGUGGGGAGACCCACCCUAAACACAGGCAGCACCGUGACAUGGGCUGGGGUGUAAAACUACAUAAAAGGAAAGC